UACGUAGGGGGCAAGCGUUGUCCGGAAUUAUUGGGCGUAAAGAGCGUGUAGGCGGUCCGGUAAGUCAGCUGUGAAAGUCAAGGGCUCAACCCUUGAAUGCCGGUUGAUACUGUCGGGCUAGAGUCCGGAAGAGGCGAGUGGAAUUCCCGGUGUAGCGGUGAAAUGCGCAGAUAUCGGGAGGAACACCUGAGGCGAAGGCGGGCUACUGGGCCGAUACUGACGCUGAUGUGCGAAAGCCAGGGGAGCGAACGGG
Molecule: ribosomal RNA, 253 nt
Filed under: uncultured bacterium
Lineage: Bacteria
Description: partial 16S ribosomal RNA
Rfam family: Bacterial small subunit ribosomal RNA
Source: RNAcentral